CUUUACUGUAGCUUGGAAUUGAAUUUGGGUUUAUUUUGCGCAGAAUAGGUGGGAGGCUACGAUGCUAUAUUUGCGGAUAUAGAGAAGCCAACAGUGAGAUACCACUCUAAUUAAACUAGAAUUCUAAUCUUGAUGCCGUUAGCCGGCCAAGAGACAGUUUCAGGUAGGCAGUUUGACUGGGGCGGUCACCUCCUAAAAAGUAACGGAGGCGUGCAAAGGUUCCCUCAGGCUGGUCGGAAAUCAGUCGUAGAGUAUAAAGGUAUAAGGGAGCUUGACUGCAAGACUUACAAGUCAAGCAGAGACGAAAGUCGGCCUUAGUGAUCCGACAGUUCUGAGUGGAAAGGCUGUCGCUCAACGGAUAAAAGUUA
RNAcentral lists this ribosomal RNA (368 nucleotides) under Griffithsia subcylindrica. RNAcentral's name for it is "bacterial LSU rRNA". It matches the Rfam family "Bacterial large subunit ribosomal RNA", at positions 2099 to 2465 of the family's 2925-position model. The record is from RNAcentral. Lineage: Eukaryota; Rhodophyta; Florideophyceae; Ceramiales; Ceramiaceae.